RNAcentral lists this ribosomal RNA (460 nucleotides) under uncultured bacterium. RNAcentral describes it as "partial 16S ribosomal RNA". It matches the Rfam family "Bacterial small subunit ribosomal RNA", at positions 338 to 795 of the family's 1533-position model. The record is from RNAcentral.
CCUACGGGAGGCUGCAGUGAGGAAUAUUGGUCAAUGGACGAGAGUCUGAACCAGCCAAGUAGCGUGAAGGAUGACUGCCCUAUGGGUUGUAAACUUCUUUUAUAUGGGAAUAAAAUGUUCCACGUGUGGGGUUUUGUAUGUACCAUAUGACUAAGGAUCGGCUAACUCCGUGCCAGCAGCCGCGGUAAUACGGAGGAUCCGAGCGUUAUCCGGAUUUAUUGGGUUUAAAGGGAGCGUAGGUGGAGUGUUAAGUCAGUUGUGAAAGUUUGCGGCUUAACCGUAAAAUUGCAGUUGAAACUGGCGGUCUUGAGUACAGUAGAGGUAGACGGAAGUCGUGGUGUAGCGGUGAAAUGCUUAGAUAUCACGAAGAACUCCGAAUGCGAAGGCAGCUCACUGGACUGCAACUGACAGUGAGGCUCGAAAGUGUGGGUAGCAAACAGGAUUAGAUACCCGUGUAGUC